UACGAAGGGGGGCUAGCGUUGCUCGGAAUUACUGGGCGUAAAGCGCUUGUAGGCGGCACGUCAAGUCGCGUGUGAAAUCCCCCAGGCUUAACCUGGGAAGUGCGCGCGAAACUGACGAGCUUGAGUGCCGGAGAGGGUCGCGGAAUUCCCGGUGUAGAGGUGAAAUUCGUAGAUAUCGGGAGGAACACCAGUGGCGAAGGCGGCGACCUGGACGGACACUGACGCUGAGACGCGAAAGCGUGGGGAGCAAACAGG
This 255-nucleotide ribosomal RNA is filed under the name uncultured bacterium. RNAcentral's name for it is "partial 16S ribosomal RNA". It matches the Rfam family "Bacterial small subunit ribosomal RNA", at positions 524 to 776 of the family's 1533-position model. The record is from RNAcentral.